Molecule: ribosomal RNA, 253 nt
Filed under: uncultured bacterium
Lineage: Bacteria
Description: partial 16S ribosomal RNA
Rfam family: Bacterial small subunit ribosomal RNA
Source: RNAcentral
UACAGAGGGGGCAAGCGUUAUUCGGAAUUAUUGGGCGUAAAGGGCGCGUAGGCGGCUUGACAAGUCAAAGGUGAAAUCCCUCGGCUCAACUGAGGAACUGCCUUUGAAACUGUCUGGCUUGAGGCCGGGAGAGGGUAGCGGAAUUCCCAGUGUAGCGGUGAAAUGCGUAGAUACUGGGAGGAACACCGGUGGCGAAGGCGGCUACCUGGACCGGUUCUGACGCUGAUGCGCAAAAGCGUGGGUAGCAAACAGG